Molecule: long non-coding RNA, 199 nt
Filed under: Lathyrus oleraceus (garden pea)
Lineage: Eukaryota; Viridiplantae; Streptophyta; Magnoliopsida; Fabales; Fabaceae
Description: Pisum sativum (pea) long non-coding RNA (PSAT_LNC004309)
Source: RNAcentral
UUUCUUUUAAAAUUUCUAUCAAUUUAGUCUAAGUUUUCCCAUAAAUUCAUUAAAAAAAAGUUUAUAUUAUUAUAGACUAAAAAUAUUCUUAAUUCAUUCUUAAUUUUUUUUUAUUUCUUUCCUUUUAGUUUAAUUAGGUUUUAUUAUUUUGUAUGCCCUUUUAAUUUUGUACUCGUUAAUUAAGAUUUAGAUAUUUUAU